RNAcentral lists this ribosomal RNA (2903 nucleotides) under Enterobacter cloacae. Its description in RNAcentral is "bacterial LSU rRNA". It matches the Rfam family "Bacterial large subunit ribosomal RNA". Lineage: Bacteria; Pseudomonadati; Pseudomonadota; Gammaproteobacteria; Enterobacterales; Enterobacteriaceae. The record is from RNAcentral.
UUAAGCGACUAAGCGUACACGGUGGAUGCCCUGGCAGUCAGAGGCGAUGAAGGACGUGCUAAUCUGCGAAAAGCGCCGGCGAGGUGAUAUGAACCCUUGACCCGGCGAUGUCCGAAUGGGGAAACCCAGUGCAAUCCGUUGCACUAUCGUUAACUGAAUACAUAGGUUAACGAGGCGAACCGGGGGAACUGAAACAUCUAAGUACCCCGAGGAAAAGAAAUCAACCGAGAUUCCCCCAGUAGCGGCGAGCGAACGGGGAGCAGCCCGGAGUCUGAAUCAGCUUGUGUGUUAGUGGAACGGUCUGGAAAGUCCGACGGUACAGGGUGAUAGUCCCGUACACGAAAGCACACUUGCUGUGAACUCGAAGAGUAGGGCGGGACACGUGGUAUCCUGUCUGAAUAUGGGGGGACCAUCCUCCAAGGCUAAAUACUCCUGACUGACCGAUAGUGAACCAGUACCGUGAGGGAAAGGCGAAAAGAACCCCGGCGAGGGGAGUGAAAAAGAACCUGAAACCGUGUACGUACAAGCAGUGGGAGCACCUUCGUGGUGUGACUGCGUACCUUUUGUAUAAUGGGUCAGCGACUUAUAUUCUGUAGCAAGGUUAACCGUAUAGGGGAGCCGAAGGGAAACCGAGUCUUAACUGGGCGUUAAGUUGCAGGGUAUAGACCCGAAACCCGGUGAUCUAGCCAUGGGCAGGUUGAAGGUUGGGUAACACUAACUGGAGGACCGAACCGACUAAUGUUGAAAAAUUAGCGGAUGACCUGUGGCUGGGGGUGAAAGGCCAAUCAAACCGGGAGAUAGCUGGUUCUCCCCGAAAGCUAUUUAGGUAGCGCCUCGUGAACUCAUCUUCGGGGGUAGAGCACUGUUUCGGCUAGGGGGCCAUCCCGGCUUACCAACCCGAUGCAAACUACGAAUACCGAAGAAUGUUAUCACGGGAGACACACGGCGGGUGCUAACGUCCGUCGUGAAGAGGGAAACAACCCAGACCGCCAGCUAAGGUCCCAAAGUCAUGGUUAAGUGGGAAACGAUGUGGGAAGGCACAGACAGCCAGGAUGUUGGCUUAGAAGCAGCCAUCAUUUAAAGAAAGCGUAAUAGCUCACUGGUCGAGUCGGCCUGCGCGGAAGAUGUAACGGGGCUAAACCAUGCACCGAAGCUGCGGCAGCGACACUAUGUGUUGUUGGGUAGGGGAGCGUUCUGUAAGCCGUUGAAGGUGUGCUGUGAGGCAUGCUGGAGGUAUCAGAAGUGCGAAUGCUGACAUAAGUAACGAUAAAGCGGGUGAAAAGCCCGCUCGCCGGAAGACCAAGGGUUCCUGUCCAACGUUAAUCGGGGCAGGGUGAGUCGACCCCUAAGGCGAGGCCGAAAGGCGUAGUCGAUGGGAAACAGGUUAAUAUUCCUGUACUUGGUGUUACUGCGAAGGGGGGACGGAGAAGGCUAUGUCAGCCGGGCGACGGUUGUCCCGGUUUAAGCAUGUAGGCGGAGGUUCCAGGUAAAUCCGGUACCUUGUUAACGCUGAGGUGUGAUGACGAGGCACUACGGUGCUGAAGUGAUAAAUGCCCUGCUUCCAGGAAAAGCCUCUAAGCAUCAGGUAACACGAAAUCGUACCCCAAACCGACACAGGUGGUCAGGUAGAGAAUACCAAGGCGCUUGAGAGAACUCGGGUGAAGGAACUAGGCAAAAUGGUGCCGUAACUUCGGGAGAAGGCACGCUGAUGUGUAGGUGAAGUCCCUGCGGACGGAGCUGAAAUCAGUCGAAGAUACCAGCUGGCUGCAACUGUUUAUUAAAAACACAGCACUGUGCAAACACGAAAGUGGACGUAUACGGUGUGACGCCUGCCCGGUGCCGGAAGGUUAAUUGAUGGGGUUAGCUGUAAGGCGAAGCUCUUGAUCGAAGCCCCGGUAAACGGCGGCCGUAACUAUAACGGUCCUAAGGUAGCGAAAUUCCUUGUCGGGUAAGUUCCGACCUGCACGAAUGGCGUAAUGAUGGCCAGGCUGUCUCCACCCGAGACUCAGUGAAAUUGAACUCGCUGUGAAGAUGCAGUGUACCCGCGGCAAGACGGAAAGACCCCGUGAACCUUUACUAUAGCUUGACACUGAACACUGGUCCUUGAUGUGUAGGAUAGGUGGGAGGCUUUGAAGCGUGGACGCCAGUCUGCGUGGAGCCGCCCUUGAAAUACCACCCUUUAAUGGCUGGUGUUCUAACGUAGACCCGUAAUCCGGGUUGCGGACAGUGUCUGGUGGGUAGUUUGACUGGGGCGGUCUCCUCCCAAAGAGUAACGGAGGAGCACGAAGGUUGGCUAAUCCUGGUCGGACAUCAGGAGGUUAGUGCAAUGGCAUAAGCCAGCUUGACUGCGAGCGUGACGGCGCGAGCAGGUGCGAAAGCAGGUCAUAGUGAUCCGGUGGUUCUGAAUGGAAGGGCCAUCGCUCAACGGAUAAAAGGUACUCCGGGGAUAACAGGCUGAUACCGCCCAAGAGUUCAUAUCGACGGCGGUGUUUGGCACCUCGAUGUCGGCUCAUCACAUCCUGGGGCUGAAGUAGGUCCCAAGGGUAUGGCUGUUCGCCAUUUAAAGUGGUACGCGAGCUGGGUUUAGAACGUCGUGAGACAGUUCGGUCCCUAUCUGCCGUGGGCGCUGGAGAAUUGAGGGGGGCUGCUCCUAGUACGAGAGGACCGGAGUGGACGCAUCACUGGUGUUCGGGUUGUCAUGCCAAUGGCACUGCCCGGUAGCUAAAUGCGGAAGAGAUAAGUGCUGAAAGCAUCUAAGCACGAAACUUGCCCCGAGAUGAGUUCUCCCUGAGACUUUAAGUCUCCUGAAGGAACGUUAAAGACGAUGACGUUGAUAGGUCGGGUGUGUAAGCGCAGCGAUGCGUUGAGCUAACCGAUACUAAUGAACCGUGAGGCUUAACCUU